Molecule: ribosomal RNA, 354 nt
Filed under: uncultured bacterium
Lineage: Bacteria
Description: partial 16S ribosomal RNA
Rfam family: Bacterial small subunit ribosomal RNA
Source: RNAcentral
CCUACGGGAGGCAGCAGUAGGGAAUAUUGCUCAAUGGGGGAAACCCUGAAGCAGCAACGCCGCGUGAAGGAUGAAGGUUUUCGGAAUGUAAACCCCUUUUUGUAGAGAAGAAAAUGACGGUACCUGACGAAUAAGCACCGGCUAACUCCGUGCCAGCAGCCGCGGUAAUACGGAGGGGGCAAGCGUUACUCGGAAUCACUGGGCGUAAAGGGCGCGUAGGCGGGAUAGCAAGUCAGAUGUGAAAUCCUAUGGCUUAACCAUAGAACUGCAUUUGAAACUGUUCUGCUAGAGUGUGGGAGAGGUAGGCGGAAUUCUUGGUGUAGCGGUGAAAUGCGUAGAGAUCAGGAGGAACAC